UUUGGUUGUGAUGGUAAGACAUGGAUGAGAUUUUCAGACUUUGCAACAGUGAAGACGAGACGCUAAGCGAGACACGCCACACCUUUUUGACAACUUUACUUGGGUUACUUAUAAGCGUCCGGAUACUUUCUUAACGAUUCGCCGUUACGUGGAAUAACUCUGCAGGUUUCCCCACGUGUGGGAUGGCUUUUGAAGAUCCUUGAAUUUCUGUUAAGUGAGCAAAAUUAGUAUUUUUCACGGCAUAUUUCAACAUUGUAAAAGGAACUAUCAGAAAUGGAUCAACAGGCAAGUGGAGGAGAAGAUCCAAAUAAGCCUUCCAAAAAGAAAUCAAACGAGGAUGAGAGUAAAAACAAGAAGCUGGCUUUGAAUUCUCUCAUCCUCAUCUUCACCAGAAACGGAGGCUACCCACCCAUCACUAACAAAUCAAAUGUGACCACAUGCUAGCAUCACCCCAACCAUCAUACCACAGAUAUCACAGAUGCAUGAACUUGCACCUGAAUAACACUUGGCCCUUUGUGGUGGGACAGGGCUAAUUUGACCAUUGUGAUGUGAUGUGAUGUGAUCAUUGUUAUACCUGUGCGAGACUACAGACUGUUAAAUUGUGUUUAACAGUGGGGGUAGAGCAGAGUUUGGGCUACAUGACUACAAACCCAAUUUGAGUAUAAAUAGUAAUGUAGCCUGUAGUUAUGAAUAGUUGAUAAUUAUCUGAAACAAUAUAUUUCUGUAGCAAUUUUAUCUGGUUAAGUGGAAUGUUGUUUGUCCAUAAUAAAUAAAAGGAAGUUGAUUGAGU
Molecule: long non-coding RNA, 790 nt
Organism: Electrophorus electricus (electric eel)
Lineage: Eukaryota; Metazoa; Chordata; Actinopteri; Gymnotiformes; Gymnotidae
Source: Ensembl